GAGUUUGAUCAUGGCUCAGAAUGAACGCUGGCGGCAGGCCUAACACAUGCAAGUCGAACGGAGUUAUAUUGUAGCUUGCUAUGGUAUAACUUAGUGGCAGACGGGUGAGUAAUGUAUAGGAAUCUACCUAGUAGUACGGAAUAAUUGUUGGAAACGGCAACUAAUACCGUAUACGCCCUACGGGGGAAAAAUUUAUUGCUAUUAGAUGAGCCUAUAUUAGAUUAGUUAGUUGGUGAGGUAAAGGCUUACCAAGACAAUGAUCUAUAGCUGAUCUGAGAGGAUGAUCAGCCACACUGGAACUGAGAUACGGUCCAGACUCCUACGGGAGGCAGCAGUGGGGAAUAUUGGACAAUGGGCGAAAGCCUGAUCCAGCCAUGCCGCAUGAGUGAAGAAGGCCUUCGGGUUGUAAAGCUCUUUUAGUGAGGAAGGUAAUGACGGUACUCACAGAAGAAGUCCUGGCUAACUCCGUGCCAGCAGCCGCGGUAAUACGGAGAGGGCUAGCGUUAUUCGGAAUCAUUGGGCGUAAAGGGCGCGUAGGCGGGUUAGUAAGUUAAAAGUGAAAUCCCAAGGCUCAACCUUGGAACUGCUUUUAAAACUGCUAGUCUAGAGAUUGAAAGAGGAUAGAGGAAUUCCUAGUGUAGAGAUGAAAUUCGUAAAUAUUAGGAGGAACACCAGUGGCGAAAGCGUCUAUCUGGUUCAAAUCUGACGCUGAGGCGCGAAGGCGUGGGGA
Molecule: ribosomal RNA, 730 nt
Filed under: uncultured Hyphomicrobiales bacterium
Lineage: Bacteria; Pseudomonadati; Pseudomonadota; Alphaproteobacteria; Hyphomicrobiales
Description: bacterial SSU rRNA
Rfam family: Bacterial small subunit ribosomal RNA
Source: RNAcentral